GAAAUGCGAUAAGUAAUGUGAAUUGCAGAAUUCAGUGAAUCAUCGAAUCUUUGAACGCACCUUGCGCUCCUUGGUAUUCCGAGGAGCAUGCCUGUUUGAGUGUCAUUUAAUUCUCAACCCCUCCAGUUUUCGUGACUGGCCUUAGGUGGUUUGGAUGUUGGGGGUAUUAAUUGCGGGCCUCUCUCUUGGAGGUCGGCUCCCCUGAAAUGUAUUAGCGGAACCGUUUGCGGGUCUGUCACUGGUGUGAUAAUUAUCUACGCCAAUGGAUGUCUGCUCUCUGGUCAGUUCUGCUUCAAAUUGUCCUCAUCUUGGACACUGAAUAACUGAACACUUGACCUCAAAUCAGGUAGGACUACCCGCUGAACUUAAGC
This 371-nucleotide unclassified non-coding RNA is filed under the name plant metagenome. RNAcentral's name for it is "partial contains 5.8S ribosomal RNA, internal transcribed spacer 2, and large subunit ribosomal RNA". The stretch from base 1 to 105 matches the Rfam family "5.8S ribosomal RNA", at positions 50 to 154 of the family's 154-position model. The record is from RNAcentral.